This is a long non-coding RNA of Sinocyclocheilus grahami, 88 nucleotides long. RefSeq lists it as uncharacterized. Lineage: Eukaryota; Metazoa; Chordata; Actinopteri; Cypriniformes; Cyprinidae. The transcript is spliced from 3 exons. The record is from RefSeq and is a predicted model, not a curated record.
AAAGUGUUCACUACAUUGUGAAAAAUCUGCAUAAAAACACCUGUAUGGCAGGACUGCAAUAAAUGAAGUGAAUGCACAUGUGUCAUCU